GAUGAACGCUGGCGGUAUGCCUAACACAUGCAAGUCGUACGAGAGUUUUUAACUCUAGUGGCGGACGGGGUGAGUAACACGUGAGAAUUUGCCUUUAGGAGGGGGACAACAAUUGGAAACGAAUGCUAAUACCCCCAUAUGCUUUCGAGUGAAAUGGAUUUUAUCCGCCUAGAGAGAAGCUCGCGGCUGAUUAGCUUGUUGGUAAGGUAAGAGCUUACCAAGGCGACGAUCAGUAUCUGGUUUGAGAGGACGAUCAGACACACUGGAACUGAGACACGGUCCAGACUCCUACGGGAGGCAGCAGUGGGGAAUUUUCCGCAAUGGGCGAAAGCCUGACGGAGCAAUACCGCGUGAGGGAAGAAUGCCUAUGGGUUGUAAACCUCUUUUUUCAGGGUAGGAAUAAAUGAACGUGUACCUGAAGAAUAAGCAUCGGCUAACUCCGUGCCAGCAGCCGCGGUAAAGUGAC
RNAcentral lists this ribosomal RNA (466 nucleotides) under uncultured bacterium. RNAcentral's name for it is "bacterial SSU rRNA". It matches the Rfam family "Bacterial small subunit ribosomal RNA", at positions 28 to 526 of the family's 1533-position model. The record is from RNAcentral.